Molecule: ribosomal RNA, 511 nt
Filed under: Theodoxus baeticus
Lineage: Eukaryota; Metazoa; Mollusca; Gastropoda; Cycloneritida; Neritidae
Description: partial 16S ribosomal RNA
Rfam family: Bacterial large subunit ribosomal RNA
Source: RNAcentral
GUCUCUUAGAAAUUAUUAAGAGUCAGGCCUGCCCAGUGAUUGCUUUAUUUAACGGCCGCGGUACCUUGACCGUGCAAAGGUAGCAUAAUCAUUUGCCUUUUAAUUGGAGGCUGGUAUGAAUGGUUCGACGAGAGUAAAACUGUCUCAUACACAUUAACUAGAAACUAAUUUAAAGGUGCAAAAGCCUUUAUAAAACAAAAAGACGAGAAGACCCUAUUGAGCUUUAAUUUUAAUGUGCACUAACUUUAUAUUUAUAUAACUAUUUGCUCAAUAAAAAUUUUAAUUGGGGCGAUUAAGGAACACAAUGAAGCUUCCUGAUUUUAAUAUUAAAUGUUUAUAGAUUAAAUCGAUCCAGCAAUGCUGAUCAACAAAAUGAGUUACCUUAGGGAUAACAGCAUAAUUCUUUUUCAGAGCUCAUAUCGAAAAAAGAGAUUGUGACCUCGAUGUUGGACUAGGGUAACGGGAAGGUGUAGCAGCUUUCUUGCUUGGUCUGUUCGACCAAUAAUUCCCU